GAUGAACGCUGGCGGCGUGCUUAACACGUGCAAGUCGAACGGAAAGGCUCCUGCUUGCAGGGGUACUCGAGUGGCGAACGGGUGAGUAACACGUGGGUGAUCUGCCCUGCACUUCGGGAUAAGCCUGGGAAACUGGGUCUAAUACCGGAUAGGACGAUGGUUUGGAUGCCAUUGUGGAAAGUUUUUUCGGUGUGGGAUGAGCUCGCGGCCUAUCAGCUUGUUGGUGGGGUAAUGGCCUACCAAGGCGUCGACGGGUAGCCGGCCUGAGAGGGUGUACGGCCACAUUGGGACUGAGAUACGGCCCAGACUCCUACGGGAGGCAGCAGUGGGGAAUAUUGCACAAUGGGCGCAAGCCUGAUGCAGCGACGCCGCGUGGGGGAUGACGGCCUUCGGGUUGUAAACUCCUUUCGCUAGGGACGAAGCGCAAGUGACGGUACCUGGAGAGGAAGCACCGGCUAACUACGUG
This 466-nucleotide ribosomal RNA is filed under the name uncultured bacterium. RNAcentral describes it as "partial 16S ribosomal RNA". It matches the Rfam family "Bacterial small subunit ribosomal RNA", at positions 28 to 507 of the family's 1533-position model. The record is from RNAcentral.